Molecule: long non-coding RNA, 328 nt
Organism: Canis lupus familiaris (dog)
Lineage: Eukaryota; Metazoa; Chordata; Mammalia; Carnivora; Canidae
Exons: 3
Source: RefSeq, a predicted model, not a curated record
CAGUUCCACGAAUUAAGAGGCUGGACACUCAAGCACUUAGCCACUCUGGCCAUGUCACUCCAAGUAGAGAGAGCUUCCUGAACACCAGCUAAAAUAAGGCACGGCAGGGCCACCAUGAGCAACUAAGAGGACCAUUGGCCAUGAGUCUCUUUUGAGCAAGAAUUGGGCCCUCAGGCAGACAAGGACCUUUAAGCAGAGACUAGAAUGAUGAGAAGAAAGCAGGCAUGAUGAGAUCCAAAAGGAAAUCAUUCCAAUCAGAAGGAAGUGGAAGUGCAUAGGCCCUAAGACCCCAAUGGCUGCUUUGAGGAGGACUGCAAAGGACACAACA